Molecule: ribosomal RNA, 459 nt
Filed under: uncultured bacterium
Lineage: Bacteria
Description: partial 16S ribosomal RNA
Rfam family: Bacterial small subunit ribosomal RNA
Source: RNAcentral
CCUACGAGAGGCAGCAGUGAGGAAUAUUGGUCAAUGGUCGGGAGACUGAACCAGCCAAGCCGCGUGAGGGAUGAAGGUACAGAGUAUCGUAAACCUCUUUUGUCAGGGAACAAAGGCGGGGACGUGUCCCCGGAUGAGUGUACCUGAAGAAAAAGCAUCGGCUAACUCCGUGCCAGCAGCCGCGGUAAUACGGAGGAUGGGAGCGUUAUCCGGAUUUAUUGGGUUUAAAGGGUGCGCAGGCGGUCUGUUAAGUCAGCGGUCAAAGCCCGGGGCUCAACCCCGGCCAGCCGUUGAAACUGGCAGUCUCGAGUUGGAGAGAAGUAUGCGGAAUGCGCGGUGUAGCGGUGAGAUGCAUAGCUCUCGCGCAGAACUCCGAUUGCGAAGGCAGCAUGCCGGCUCCACACUGACGCUGAGGCACGAAAGCGUGGGUAUCGAACAGGAUUAGAUACCCGGGUAGUC